CGGCGUGCUUACACAUGCAAGUCGAGUGCGCGCCUGUAGCAAUACAGGUGGCGCACGGCGCACGGGUGCGUAACACGUGGGUAACCUGCCCUUUGGUGGGGAAUAACCCCGGGAAACCGGGGCUAAUUCCGCAUAAGAUCCGCAAGGAUGAAAGCCGUAAGGCGCCGAAGGAGGGGCCCGCGCACGAUUAGCUAGUUGGUAGGGUAACGGCCUACCAAGGCUAUGAUCGUUAGCUGGUCUGAGAGGAUGGCCAGCCACACUGGAACUGAGACACGGUCCAGACUCCUACGGGAGGCAGCAGUGGGGAAUCUUGCGCAAUGGGCGAAAGCCUGACGCAGCGACGCCGCGUGGGGGAUGAAGCUUCUCGGAGUGUAAACCCCUUUCGACUGGGACGAAUACCUCGCAAGAGGGGUGACGGUACCAGUAGAAGAAGCCCCGGCUAACUACGUGCCAGCAGCCGCGGUAAGACGUAGGGGGCCAGCGUUGUUCGGAAUUACUGGGUGUAAAGGGUUCGUANGCGGUGUGGCAAGUCGGGAGUGUAAUUUCUGGGCUUAA
This 555-nucleotide ribosomal RNA is filed under the name uncultured bacterium. Its description in RNAcentral is "bacterial SSU rRNA". It matches the Rfam family "Bacterial small subunit ribosomal RNA", at positions 40 to 612 of the family's 1533-position model. The record is from RNAcentral.